This 497-nucleotide ribosomal RNA is filed under the name uncultured bacterium. RNAcentral describes it as "partial 16S ribosomal RNA". It matches the Rfam family "Bacterial small subunit ribosomal RNA", at positions 28 to 507 of the family's 1533-position model. The record is from RNAcentral.
GACGAACGCUGGCGGCGUGCCUAAUACAUGCAAGUUGAGCGAUGAAGAUUGGUGCUUGCCCCAAUUUGAAGAGCAGCGAACGGGUGAGUAACGCGUGGGGAAUCUGCCUUUGAGCGGGGGACAACAUUUGGAAACGAAUGCUAAUACCGCAUAAUAACUUUAAACAUAAGUUUUAAGUUUGAAAGAUGCAAUUGCAUCACUCAAAGAUGAUCCCGCGUUGUAUUAGCUAGUUGGUGAGGUAAAGGCUCACCAAGGCGAUGAUACAUAGCCGACCUGAGAGGGUGAUCGGCCACAUUGGGACUGAGACACGGCCCAAACCCCUACGGGAGGCAGCAGUAGGGAAUCUUCGGCAAUGGACGAAAGUCUGACCGAGCAACGCCGCGUGAGGGAAGAAGGGUGUCGGAUCGUAAAACUCUGUUGGUAGAGAAGAACGUUGGUGAGAGUGGAAAGCUCAUCAAGUGACGGUAACUACCCAGAAAGGGACGGCUAACUACGUG